RNAcentral lists this long non-coding RNA (2695 nucleotides) under Mus musculus (house mouse). RNAcentral's name for it is "long non-coding RNA chr1:32419415-32422110". Lineage: Eukaryota; Metazoa; Chordata; Mammalia; Rodentia; Muridae. The record is from RNAcentral.
UAAAUAAUAAGAAACUUAUAAUAAUGUAAUAUCUAUUCGUUUGUGUCCAUAUAUUUUCCAUAGAAAAGAUGAAAGUUGAGCUUCCACUCAAACAAGAAAUUAGUGUUAAAUAACAGAAAAAUAGACAGCUUUGUUGCCUUCUCGAAUAAGUGGUGUUAGAAUCCUAAAUAAAAAGUCUUUUUUUUUCUACUUUUUUUAUUAGAUACUUUCUUCAUUUAUAUUUCAAAUGUGAUCCCCAACGUCCCCUAUACCUUCCUCCCUCCCUGCUCCCCAACCCACCCACUCCCACUUCCUGGCCCUGGCAUUCCCCUGUACUGGGGCAUAUGAUCUUUGCAAGACCAAGGGCCUUUCCUCCCAUUGAUGGCCAACUAGGCCAUCCUCUGCUACAUAUGCAGCUAGAGACACAGUUCUGUGGGGUACUGGUUAGUUCAUAUUUUUGAUCCUCCUAUAGGGUUGCCUACCCCUUUAGCUCCUUAGUUACUUUCUCUAGCUCCUUCCUUAGGAGUCCUGUGUUCCAUCCAAUAGAUGACUGUAAGCAUCCACUUCUGUAUUUGCCAGGCACUGGCAUAGCCUCACAAGAGAGAGCUAUAUCAGGGUCCUGUGAGCAAAAUCUUCCUGGGUUUGGUGGUUGUAUAUGGGAUAGAUCCCCAGGUAGGGAAGUCUCUCGAUGAUCCUUUCUACUGUCUCAGCUCUGAACUUUGUCUCUGUAACUCCUUCCAUGGGUAUUUUGUUCCCCAAUCUAAGAAGGAACGAAGUAUCCACAGUUUGUUCUUCCUUCUUCUUGAGUUUCAUGUGUUUUGUAAAUUGUAUCUUGGGUAGUCUAAGUUUCUGGGCUGCUAUUCAGUUAUCAGUGAGUGCAUAUCAUGUGUGUUCUUUUGUGAUUGGGUUAUCUCACUCAGGAUGAUAUCCUCCAGAUGCAUCCAUUUGUCUAAGAAUUUCAUAAAUUCAUUGUUUUUAAUUAUUGAGUACUACUCCAUUGUGUAAAUGUACCACAUUUUCUAUAUCCAUUCCUCUGUUGAGGGACAUCUGGGUUCUUUCCAGCUUCUGAAUAUUAACAACACUUGAUCAGUAUCCAUAAGUUGAUAAAUCUGUCUUGCUUGGCUUAAGCUUCCUGUGUUCUCACCCAGAGUUUUGUGCAAAGUAAAGUGGGGAAAGAGGUAGAUAUGUAGGUGGGUUGGUAGGUAUAUAGACUCAUUGUAGAAUCAUACAUAUGCAUACACAUUUCAUUUUUGCCUUUGUAUAGCUGUAUGUCUUUGCAUACUAAUCUGAGAUUAAUAUGAGUGGAAAUGGCUAGAUGGUAGUACUUUGCUCUGAUAAAGUUGCUGGAAUCACAGAGAACAUUUUAGUCUUCAUGACAUGGCAAGCAUGGCCAGUGCAGAUCCUGCCUACCACCAUUCUGUACUGCUAUUCACAUUUGUUUUCUGUCUGUUUGUACAGAAUGAUGAGAGAGAGAGAGAGAGAGAGAGAGAGAGAGAGAGAGAGAGAGAGAGAGAGAGAGAGAGAUGGUUUGACUAAAAUACAUGAGGCAUACCCUGACACCUAGUGCUAGUGUGUCAAACAGAAAAAAAAAAAGCAAAAAAAAAAAAAAAAAAAAAAAAAAAAAAAACAACUAAACUGACAUUAUCAGAAAUAUCUGGAUGUUUUCCACUAUUUUGUGUCACAUUAAAAACAGUUUAGGAACUCAUAAAAUGGAAUAUACACAAAGACAGUAUUAUUUGAAGAUGGACUUCUUACUAUGCUUGUUCAAACAAUAAUCUUUUCCUUCAAAUGCUACCAUGAAGUCAAGGGGCAGGUACUUUAAGUCCAUGUUUAGUGACAUGAGUCUGGUGAUCCCAGUACACGUGGUUUUGUAUAUGUGUGGGAAUGGGCACAUAGAACCUACCUUACUUUUUUUUUUUUUCCUUUUGACUGCCAUAUCUCAAAUGUUAUUUGAUCAUUUUCUUUCUUCUUGAGUUUGGAAUUUUAGGGCUCGGUUCAAUCAGUGGACAUUUCUGCUGCUGUCAUGUAACAAAACAGGUGGAAUUUUAUCAUGCUGAGAGUUUCUGGUUGGUUUGUUGAAAUUACAUCUCUCUUCUGGGACUUAACAUUUUCCAACCAUUGUUGAACAUUUGUUUCAGCCACAAUAAAUUUUUCACUCGCAGGUCUUGUAACUAAUCUUGUCCAGUCCCAGAGGUACUUUGUGAUAUCCAGAGUGCACUGAAGGGAGGAAAACAGCAUCUGCUAUUAGCAGAUUUUUUCCGAAUUACUUAUAUCUCGCCCUUUCUGCCCUUUCUUUGUGAUUUCCAAGCUUAUUUGAGGAAUCAGAAAAGAUUCAGGAAGAUAAUUUGCAUACAAGGGUACAAAUUACAAACAGUGAGACAUUUUUUAAAUGAAAAGAAAAUGAUCCAAAAGUAAAAUCUUUAUAACCAUUCUUCAUAAACCUAAGAAUAGACAUGCUAUGCUAAGGCUAAGUACCAACUAAAACACAGUCCCUUGGAGAGUGCAGAUACCAUGUGUCCCACUCCCAAGUGACCCACUGUGUACUAAACAUUCUUAUUUACAGAAAAGCACAGAAGUGUUAGAUUGGAUGUUUUUCUAGUAGGUGUAAGGUUAAUGUUGCAGAGAGUUUCCCGUUCCUUGAAAGCUAAGUGUCCUGAAACUUUCAAAGACAGGCCAGCAGUAGGCAAGUAUAGAACUCAGCUUUACAAAGAAAAUU